GCCUCAGUAACGGCGAGUGAAGCGGCAAAAGCUCAAAUUUGAAAUCUGGCUCUUUCAGGGUCCGAGUUGUAAUUUGUAGAAGAUGCUUCGGGUGUGGUCCCGGUCUAAGUUCCUUGGAACAGGACGUCAUAGAGGGUGAGAAUCCCGUAUGUGACUGGGUACCUACGCUCAUGUGAAGCUCUUUCGACGAGUCGAGUUGUUUGGGAAUGCAGCUCAAAAUGGGUGGUAAAUUUCAUCUAAAGCUAAAUAUUGGCCAGAGACCGAUAGCGCACAAGUAGAGUGAUCGAAAGAUGAAAAGCACUUUGGAAAGAGAGUUAAACAGUACGUGAAAUUGUUGAAAGGGAAGCGCUUGCAAUCAGACUUGCGCCUAGUUGAUCAUCCGGGCUUCUGCCCGGUGCACUCGAUUAGGCUCAGGCCAGCAUCGGUUUGGGUGGUUGGAUAAAGGCUUGGGGAACGUAGCCUCCUUCGGGGGGUGUUAUAGCCCCAGGUGCAAUGCAGCCUACCUGGACCGAGGACCGCGCUUCGGCUAGGAUGCUGGCGUAAUGGUUGUAAGCGACCCGUCUUGAAACACGGACCAAGGAGUCUAACAUUUAUGCGAGUGUUUGGGUGUUAAACCCAUACGCGUAAUGAAAGUGAACGGAGGUAAGAACCCUUAAGGGUGCAUUAUCGACCGAUCCUGAUGUCUUCGGAUGGAUUUGAGUAAGAGCAUAACUGUUGGGACCCGAAAGAUGGUGAUCUAUACGUGAAUAGGGUGAAGCCAGAGGAAACUCUGGUGGAGGCUCGCAGCGGUUCUGACGUGCAAAUCGAUCGUCAAAUUUGCGUAUAGGGGCGAAAGACUAAUCG
The sequence is a ribosomal RNA, 843 nucleotides long. It matches the Rfam family "Eukaryotic large subunit ribosomal RNA", at positions 77 to 937 of the family's 3401-position model.